RNAcentral lists this small RNA (752 nucleotides) under Pan troglodytes (chimpanzee). Its description in RNAcentral is "processed transcript". The record is from RNAcentral. Lineage: Eukaryota; Metazoa; Chordata; Mammalia; Primates; Hominidae.
CAGCCGCAGGCAGUACCUCGGCGUGACGCGGUGACGCAGCCGGAGAGAGCUUCACGCACACCAUCUCUUCAUUCUUCCUGAACUCUGUCACGGAGGGGGCCUUUAUUUAUUUAUUUUUGGGAAAUCUGCUUCGCCACUGAAGGUACUCUGCACCCCAGAAGGAAUACGACUUCAGUGUUUCAUGAAGUAUUUUACAGAAGAAAUGAAAGUGAACUGGUGUCACAAAGAUGCUAAGAUCUCAUCCAGUGAGCAUAUGAGAAUCGGGGGGAGUGAAGAGAUGGCCUGGCUGCAGAUAUGUGAGCCGACCGAGAAGGAUAAAGGAAAAUACACUUUUGAGAUUUUCGAUGGCAAAGAUAACCAUCAACGCUCCCUCGACCUGUCCGGACAAGCUUUUGACGAAGCAUUUGCAGAGUUCCAGCAACUCAAAGCUGCUGCUUUUGCAGAGAAGAAUCGUGGCAGGUUGAUUGGCGGCUUGCCUGACGUGGUGACCAUCAUGGAAGGGAAGACCUUGAAUCUGACCUGCACGGUGUUUGGAAACCCUGACCCCGAAGUGAUUUGGUUCAAGAACGACCAGGACAUCCAGCUCAGCGAGCACUUCUCAGUGAAGGUGGAGCAGGCCAAGUACGUCAGCAUGACCAUCAAAGGCGUGACCUCCGAGGACUCGGGCAAGUACAGCAUCAACAUCAAGAACAAGUAUGGCGGGGAGAAGAUCGACGUGACGGUGAGCGUGUACAAACACGGGGAGAAGAUCC